AUAUAAUUGUCUUGUCUGUGGCAGAAGUAGUAUGUUAAUACCGGUGGUGCUUGAUCCGAGUUCAUAUUCGUGCUUGGGGUCAUAAAUUCUUUUCAGAAAAAGUGGCGUGUUCAAAGAUAAAGUAAAUUUGCCUUUUUAAAAUUGAAGGGUGGCAUUGGUGGGAUUAUCCGUUGGUUUUUUGUUAGAACUAAUGUUUUGAAGCCCUUUGUGUUUUUGGAGAUUGCAGUUAUUCCAAAGCCCUUUGUGUCUUGUUUUGUAUAUCUAUGGUUGGGAUUUAUUUGGGAAUUGUUACUGAAGUUCAUAAGAGUGUGACAGCUUUCCUUUACAUAGGCAAUUAAGAAUGACAUUUUCAGUUUGGUUUUUGUAUGCAUAUAUAUAAUUUCUUUAAAGGGAUGGAUUAUUUGAUCUCUACACUGAAAAAAUGGAACUGAACUAAGAAUUUUGGUUCAAUUCUGUCUCAUUAGUCAGUUCAGUUAGUCAUAAUAGGUUAUUCAGUUUUGCCGGUUCGGUUGCAUCACAAUUUAUAUGUUUUUCCUGAUACCAAGACUACAUAUAAAAUAUUGUUACAUUUUGCGCCAAAUGUUUUGGCUCUAGAACAAGGAAUUGGAAGUACUUAGUCCACUUUGAUAAGCUGCUUGUGUUUCAUACAUGUACCUUUGAUAAAUUAAUUCAUAAAAGGAAAAGAGUAUUUUGAUGAUAUCAUUUUUUUUUAUUUUUAUGUUUUACCUUCAUGUUUAACUUUGAAGAACACAAAUUAGUUUGCUUGUAGUUGCAAGUACACUGAUGACAGGUUGCAAGGGUGCUUUUUCUGGUUUUUAUCAUGAUAAAUAAAUUUAUGUAGGAAAUAAAGUUAUAAUUUUUUCCCCUUCAUUUUUUUAUUUUUAGCAGAG
This 890-nucleotide unclassified non-coding RNA is filed under the name Hevea brasiliensis (rubber tree). Lineage: Eukaryota; Viridiplantae; Streptophyta; Magnoliopsida; Malpighiales; Euphorbiaceae. The record is from RNAcentral.